Molecule: RNA transcript, 3080 nt
Organism: Columba livia (rock pigeon)
Lineage: Eukaryota; Metazoa; Chordata; Aves; Columbiformes; Columbidae
Gene: GORAB
Gene name: golgin, RAB6 interacting
Exons: 5
Source: RefSeq, a predicted model, not a curated record
CUCUGUAUACCACACAAACACAGCUCGAGAUGCACUGGAGAGGGCAUCUCACCUAAAUGCAAAUUGUAAAUGACCAGGGAGGCGUGCUGAUGCUCCUUGCUUUAUUAUGCCUCAUUAUAACAGCCAGACUUUGUCCACUCUUCAUGGCAUGGCACUCUCAAAAGCCCUAGGGACGUGCACCAAGCCCCACACAGUGUAUUCCGCACUGCAGAGCUGCACAUCCCGUGUGCCGAGCCCACGGCAGCCCUGCUGCCGCCCGGCCGGCCCUCCCUGCAGCCCGUGUGCUGCCCCGGGACCACCGCGGCCGGGACCGCCCGGCGGACCCGCCGAAGAGCCCUGGGGCUGUUCCGCCGGUGAGGGGCACCCGGGGGCGGCCUGUGGCCGACAAGCCCUGUCAGCCCCUCAGCGUACUCCGUCCCGCUGCCCCUCCGCAGCGCAGCGACCCCCGCUCUGUCCCGCCCCGACACCGCGGCCACCCCGCCCGGCUCCUCAGGGCGCCAUGCUCCCUGCGCCACCGCGUUGCCAUGGAGACGCGAGGCCCCCGGCGCCGCCGGCCGGGGCUGUCCGCGGCGUUCGCCUGCGGCGGGAGGGCGGCGGUGUGGGGGCAGCCGCGGGCCCUGCGGGCCGUGCCACCCCGUCAGCGGAAGGAGGAAGCGCCAUGGCCGAGGCCUGGGCCGGUUUCUCGCAGGAGGAGCUGCGGCGCCUGCGGAGCCAGCACCCAGGUUUUUAUGAACCCCCAGAGCAGCAGCAUCAUCCCCACGCUGUGAAUAAGAGUCGGAAGCCAACACCAAGAGAAAAAGCCUUCCAGCAGCAGUGUCAGAAGCUGGGACUGCAGGGUGGAGCAGCCUCUGUUCCUCCUGAGCAGUUGCUUUCUGUACCAAAACACAAGCCUGGUCCUCCUGAGCAGCCUGUGCCACCACCUCAUCCUCCUUCAGUGGGAGAUCAAAGGCAAAGUGGCAAUCGAGAGCAGCAGAAGGAAGCUACGCCGCUAGAUCCUUGUAAUGGCAGUGACAAUGCGCAGACCCGCCCUGCAAAGUCAAACUCCAAAGCGGAGAAAAAGAAAGUGGAAUUGUUAGCAGGAAAAAUCACGAUGGGAAAUCCUCCAGCAAGAGCAACGGCUAAUAGAAGAGAAGAAUAAACGCAAGAAGGCACUCCUGGCCAGAGCUAUUGCCGAGAGAUCCAAAAGAACUCAAGCUGAAACAGCGAAACUAAAAAGGAUUCAGAAGGAGUUACAAGCUCUGGAUGACAUGGUAUCUGCUGACAUUGGCAUUCUGCGGAACCGCAUUGAUCAGGCCAGCCUGGACUACUCGUAUGCCCGGAAACGGUAUGAAAAGGCUGAGUCGGAGUAUGUGGCAGCCAAGCUGGACCUCCAACACAAGACAGAGAUUAAGGAGCACCUCACGGAGCACCUGUGCACCAUCAUACAGCAGAAUGAACUCCGCAAGGCCAGGAAGCUGGAGGAGUUAAUGCAGCAGCUGGAAGUGGAGGCAGAUGAGGAAAAUCUGGAACUUGAGAUAGAGGUGGAGCGGAUGCUGCAGCAGCAGGAGGCAGAAGCAGGGAGACAAGCCAGCCAGUCACACAGUCCUGCUGGGACAGCGAAGGAAAUCCCCACUCCCAGUGUUACAGCGCAGAAGAGUGAGCAUGCUAACCAUGCUGUUGCUUCUCCUGCUAGUUCUGAACAGUUGGUUCACCCCGAAAACUCCGGUACCAAAUCUUUCUCCAAUAUGGACAACCAAACUCAAACAGUGACUCCAGGAAGCCCCCCAGCUUGUUCUGGGACGUGAUUACUACAUUCACAUAAGCCAGCCAGUUAUGGAUAAUAUGCUCUCUGCAGGCUUGUGUGCUGUAUGUUAUACCUGGGUUUCUGCCGUGCCAGUAAUAUGCACUUCAUUUCUCUUUAAUAUUGUUUUCACAUUUUAGAGGCUCUUUUUUUCAAAAGACUUUCAUUUGGGGUUCUCCAUCUGUCUUCAUCAUUCCGGUUUAAGUUCAUGUUCUAAUACCCAGCUCUUCAUGGGGCUUUGUACCUUCCUGAAACAGGAUACUUGGAAGUGAACAGUAGGGUUUUUCCAAAGGCUUUCAGCAUAUUGAUAUCACAGAUACCUGUUCCAAGCCGUCUGCGAGAGAUGCCUAUCUACAGGAGGAAACAUCCCAACUUACUCUGCUUCUGUACACAUUCUGUCCCCUGACAACUGCGAUAGGAUGUUUGUCUUCCUUUGUAUCCAUAAGGGGUUAGUUUUCAACGGUUUUUAAUCCUGUGAAACCCAAGUGCUUACUUUAAUUAUCUUCAUAGCUGAUACUCUUUCCUGUACCUGAUUUAAAGGAAAUUUGCAUAUUGAGGCAGCUUGCAAAGUCAGUUGUAAUAUUUCCUAUUUAUCACUUUGCCUAUUUCUUUCCUAUCAUACUGGAUCACACAAAGCUAUACAUUGAUAACAUUGUUAUCUAUGAAAUCACAGCAGCUAUGGUUUAACAAAAAUGAUGGGUUAAUGGGUUACAGUAUAAGACAAUUAAGAAUGUAUGUAGAAGUAGAAACACACAAAAGAGACUAUGUUACAAUUAAAGCUGUUCCAUUGCAAACAUUUUUCUCUGUCUUGGUUGCCUCAAAGUUCCAAUAAGUAGGGGAUCUUGUAAUGAAUAACCUCUACUGUAUAUUGGAAGUGAGCCUAUUGUCUUAUGAUCUUCAUUGCAUUUUCUUGCCUGAAGAGUGGGUUUGUACCCCACAAGAAGCUCAGCUGUUUUGCUCUGUUAUUGUUAAGAGGCUUUAAAAAGCUAUUCCAGGUGGAGAAAGUCUCAGGAAUUCAAAUAGAGGAUAUAGAAAACCCCUCCGGUAGACCCAUGCAGCUGCAAACUGGGGGGACAGCACUCAUAGCUCUCCACUUUGGAAUGGAGGAAAGCUGCUUUCGUGAUGGAAAUGCUUUCUGUAAAGCCUGACUGCAACAACAUGUCAGUCAGAGUUUAUGAAUGAGUUACUGAAUGACACCAUCAAGUAUGUUAAUGGGAGACUGGUUGUCUCUAUGGCUUUAAUGGUGGAAAACAUGUCACUACAUUUCAUUUUUAUUCUAUUAAUAAAUCAGUGCCUCUUC